RNAcentral lists this long non-coding RNA (1475 nucleotides) under Equus caballus (horse). RNAcentral's name for it is "lncRNA (ENSECAG00000045459.1)". Lineage: Eukaryota; Metazoa; Chordata; Mammalia; Perissodactyla; Equidae. The record is from RNAcentral.
GGGGAGACAUUUAGGGUCGUGGGUGAUGAGGAUUAUUUUAGGCUGGUUACUUUUAAAACUGCAGAUGAGAAGGGGGCUCUGAGGAGUGGAAUUUGCUUGCCCUUUGAUGAGAGACAUUUGCGUUUGUGAAGGAAGUCUCCAUCUGUGGGGAGUGUCUCCCUCUCUGCACCAGGAGGAAGGCGGGAUGGCCUUAUCUGGAACUCUUAAUGGGGAAGGCAAGGACUUAAGUUGUUUACUGUCUGGCAACCUCAGAUAUUUUCAAGAUUCAUCUAUGUUACAGCAUGCAUUAAAACUUCAUUCCUUCCUAUGGCUGAACAAUGUUCCAUUGUGCAGAUACACCACAUUUCGUUUAUCCAUUCUUCUGCUGAUAGACACUUGGGUUGUUUCCACUUCUUGGCUGUGACUUAUCUUUUCACUGGAUAUUUACAAAGUCAAAGGGAAGGUCUCAGCGGAAUCCACAGAGGGUAUGUGCCUCCUCUCAGCAUCCAUCCUCUACCCUACCUCUCAAGAGAGUUAAGGAGACACAGUCACUCGGGUCCCUGACUGACAGAGCUCUGCCACCGUCAACGCAGGCUUCCAGUGUCACUGCAGUGAGUGCUGAGGCAUGCCCCCAGAUUCCCCUUGGGGCCUAGGUGCUGAGGACUGUCUUCUCUUGAGAGGGGCUCACAGCUGAGACCCUCUUGAGAUACUACUGAGAUACUACUGCUUCACUUGAGGUUUUCCCCUCCCUGGAGAAAGCCCACAUCCAGAGACUUGGGGUGCAAAGGCCCAACCCCCUUUCCCCACUUUGGGGAUCUCUGAAGGGCUAGCCCAGCUUCAGAGCAGCCUGUGGGAUAGGCUGAAGCCACUAUUAGGACUGAACUCAGUUGAACUUCUCCUUCUGUUCGGUUGUGUUCUCCUCUACGCAUGUGUUUCGAGAACACCGUGCAAUAAACCACCCAUGCGCAGAUCUCCAUCUCAAAGUCUGUUUUCAGGGAACCCAACCUGAACAGGCAUCUUCAGGGCCACUUCCAGUCCACCCGCAGAAAGGGGCAAGUGCAUGGAGGAGCACUGUGGAAGGUCUGGGAUGCCGAAUGAUAGGGGUGCCACACAUCACAUCCACCGCCUACCACCCAAUCACACGGCCACUCUCAACAUCUCAGAGUGGGAAGAAGGAGUGUGACAGUGUCUCCUGCAAAUGGGUGAGCACUUAGCUGUCUCUGCACUUGCAUCUACACACACACGUUCCAGGGCAAAACACAUCUGCAGCAUCUGAGGAAUUAAAAUUUGAGGUGACUCAGGCCCAUGUUUAGGUGGAAGAAGGGACACACUUUGUCAGUGCCCAGAUCCCUGGACUCUCCUAUUACAAACCUCUUGUGGGACCCUUGUAUUCAGAGUGUUCAAUUAAAUCAUUGAUGCUUCCUCUGCUUUCAGAGGAAAUUUGUUUUUCAGAAGGAGCAAAGUGAACUCUGAAGACUGUGGGAAAGGAUUAGUAG